RNAcentral lists this ribosomal RNA (467 nucleotides) under uncultured bacterium. RNAcentral describes it as "partial 16S ribosomal RNA". It matches the Rfam family "Bacterial small subunit ribosomal RNA", at positions 28 to 507 of the family's 1533-position model. The record is from RNAcentral.
GACGAACGCUGGCGGCGUGCUUAACACAUGCAAGUCGAACGGAAAGGCUCCAGCUUGCUGGAGUACUCGAGUGGCGAACGGGUGAGUAACACGUGGGUAAUCUGCCCUGCACUCUGGGAUAAGCCUGGGAAACUGGGUCUAAUACUGGAUAUGACCUUUCUCCUUAUGGGGUUUGGUGGAAAGUUUUUCGGUGUAGGAUGAGCGCGCGGCCUAUCAGCUUGUUGGUGGGGUGAUGGCCUACCAAGGCGACGACGGGUAGCCGGCCUGAGAGGGUGAUCGGCCACAUUGGGACUGAGAUACGGCCCAGACUCCUACGGGAGGCAGCAGUGGGGAAUAUUGCACAAUGGGCGGAAGCCUGAUGCAGCGACGCCGCGUGAGGGAUGGCGGCCUUCGGGUUGUAAACCGCUUUCAGCAGGGACGAAGCGUAAGUGACGGUACCUGAAGAAGAAGCACCGGCUAACUAUGUG